AUCUUAUGGUGAAGGCAUUUAUGUAGUAGCUUUUUGAAUCUUUCCCAUGCCUCGUAUUGGGACUCAUCAUCCAUCUGCUGAAAAGUGGUGAUCUUAUUUUGCAAUGC
Molecule: non-coding RNA, 107 nt
Organism: Gossypium hirsutum (cotton)
Lineage: Eukaryota; Viridiplantae; Streptophyta; Magnoliopsida; Malvales; Malvaceae
Source: Rfam